GGGAAUUUUUACCCAAAACCGAGAGCUACACUACCAACACAGACGCAAAGUGCAAGAAAAUAAGGAACAUAGAAAAUGUUCACCCAGUUCGGCCUGAAUGGCUUAAUCUGGGUGGCUCAGAGUCAGUCCAAUUCACUAGUGCAAUUCUACUUCCCAGAGAGAGUACAGUACACAAAACCAAAUGAGCACAACCAGAUCAAUUAUCGAUCCAAAUGGAUCUCAAAUCUGGACACAACACAUUGCUUCCUCUCAAACCGGCCACAACUACAUAAGUACAACAGAUCGCCUACACAAACUAUCUCCUAGUUAUUGUAGCACACGAGAUUUACAGAAUCUUACAAAAGAACAAUAAUCUCCAAAUUCUAAGGGCCAAGAAGGAGGAAGAAGAAAGUCUCCCAAAAUAAAGAGAGAGAAACAAGAGAUAUUCAAAAGGUCGGUCUAAAAAAUCUGACCCUCCCAGCCGUAUACACUAGAAACCAAGAGCCAGCCAUAUUUUGAUCUCCACCGUUCAUUCAAUCGAACGAUUCACACACGGCCAAAAGAAACACAGAUCCAAGUUAUAUGGAAUGAACGAAUCAGGAACUGUCACGUAAUGUCCACCAACUUAAGGUGCUGAAAAACGUCCAGAUUACCCUCUCAUAAGUUGCAAUUUUAGAGAAACACGUUUUUCUCCUUUAAUCUUCACCUUGGUUCUCAAAAUUGCACUCACUCUCUCAGUUGCUGAAUUGCACAUUUGUGGAAAGGCUGACCAACAUCAUUGCCCAAGGUACCUGCAAAUUAAAUUACACAGUAUCAAUAUUCAGAAGUGACAGACAAGUUCUGAAUUUACUUACAGGCAGAAUUUUAGUGCCCAUAUCAGAUGGAUUAAUGUCAGUAUGAUUUUCCCAAUAACCAUUUCAUCUGAAGAGAGUUUUUCUCUUAUAAAAUGGUACUUCACCUCAAUGUGCUUAGACCUUUCAUGGUAGACAGGGUUCUCGCUUAAUAAUAAGGCACUUUGACUAUCAGUAAGUAUAACUGGUGAAGUUAAUAGAAAAUUCAGUUCACUUAAAAUUCCUUUGAGCCACAUACAUUCUUUAACACAUUAAGUAAUAGCCACAUAUUCAGCUUCAGUACUCGAUAAAGUGACGAUAGGUAGAAGUUGAGACUUCCAGGUGAUACAAUUAUCACCAAGUAUAAAGAAAUAAGCAGUGGUGUAUUUUCUUUGAUCUUUAUCUCCUGCAAAAUCAGAAUCUACGUACCCCUUGAGGGUUAAUG
Molecule: long non-coding RNA, 1254 nt
Filed under: Olea europaea subsp. europaea
Lineage: Eukaryota; Viridiplantae; Streptophyta; Magnoliopsida; Lamiales; Oleaceae
Source: RNAcentral